UGUUAAAAAUUCCAUCCAUUUUUACUAUUUAAACUCAAUAUGGUUGACAGAAUAAGUAAACAGAGACACGUGGCAUGCUACAGUACCUCAUCCUGACCUAUGGGGACUAAUUUUUAACAAUAGAAAUAGAUGAAAUUUUUAAUA
MicroRNA precursor from Gossypium arboreum, 144 nucleotides. It matches the Rfam family "MIR7502 microRNA precursor family". The record is from Rfam. Lineage: Eukaryota; Viridiplantae; Streptophyta; Magnoliopsida; Malvales; Malvaceae.